CCUACGGGCGGCUGCAGUGGGGAAUAUUGCACAAUGGGCGCAAGCCUGAUGCAGCCAUGCCGCGUGUGUGAAGAAGGCCUUCGGGUUGUAAAGCACUUUCAGCGGGGAGGAAGGCGUUAAGGUUAACAACCUUGGCGAUUGACGUUACCCGCAGAAGAAGCACCGGCUAACUCCGUGCCAGCAGCCGCGGUAAUACGGAGGGUGCAAGCGUUAAUCGGAAUUACUGGGCGUAAAGCGCACGCAGGCGGUCUGUCAAGUCGGAUGUGAAAUCCCCGGGCUCAACCUGGGAACUGCAUUCGAAACUGGCAGGCUAGAGUCUUGUAGAGGGGGGUAGAAUUCCAGGUGUAGCGGUGAAAUGCGUAGAGAUCUGGAGGAAUACCGGUGGCGAAGGCGGCCCCCUGGACAAAGACUGACGCUCAGGUGCGAAAGCGUGGGGAGCAAACAGGAUUAGAUACCCGGGUAGUC
RNAcentral lists this ribosomal RNA (465 nucleotides) under uncultured Klebsiella sp. RNAcentral describes it as "bacterial SSU rRNA". It matches the Rfam family "Bacterial small subunit ribosomal RNA", at positions 338 to 795 of the family's 1533-position model. Lineage: Bacteria; Pseudomonadati; Pseudomonadota; Gammaproteobacteria; Enterobacterales; Enterobacteriaceae. The record is from RNAcentral.